Molecule: long non-coding RNA, 1166 nt
Organism: Hordeum vulgare subsp. vulgare (domesticated barley)
Lineage: Eukaryota; Viridiplantae; Streptophyta; Magnoliopsida; Poales; Poaceae
Exons: 2
Source: RefSeq, a predicted model, not a curated record
AGAGGUUCUACUUUGUUUUAAUAAAAAACAAUCCUGUGUGCUGAGAGGGAGGGCCCUGGACGCGGCAGAGGGCUUCACAUCUUUUGUUCAAACAAUGCUAUUAUUUGCAACUGUACGCCCACUUUGUUACUUCUACGUUCUGUUUCUUUGCUCAGUGUUCCUGCAUUUUAUUUCGCGCAAGGUUUUCUUCCGUUUCAUACCGUUAUAUUGUAUAAAUCGUGCUAUGUUGCUCCUUUUCAUUCAUGCAUCUGCUGCACUAUGGCACCUCAAGCGUCAAACAAAAAAGCUACUCCCUCCGUCUCAAAAUAUGGUCUUAACUUUGUACUAACUUUAGUACAAAGUUACACUAAGCUUUAGACAUUUAUUUUGAGACGGAGGGAGUACUGCAUUUGGUCUUUGAUGUCAACAUAUGCUCCCUCCGUCCCACAAAUAUGUUUUUGCAAAUAGCUUGCAAAAAUCUCUACAUUAUGGGACGGAGGGUGUAUUUAUUUAGUUUUGAGUACCCAUUUAUAUGUGGUAUACAUCAUGUGCAAGCUAAUCUAUGCACUCCCCCUAUUUCUAUGUUUGCCUCUUGUGUGAUUCCACCUUGCCCUCUUUCUAUGCACAGGUGAUAUUUCCGGUAGUAUGUGAUUUGAACUUCAUUUUGUUUACUUGAACCAAAAACAUUGUACUCUACAUCUUGAUCUCGUGUAGUUAAUUCCUCAUAUUUAUGUGGGUUACUUUUGAACCACUAAUAACUUUGAUGACAUAUAAUUUUCAUGUAAUGCAGUAUAUGGGAAUGUACAAGCAUAUAAACUGGAUAUUUCCUAGAAAUCUCAAUAUUAGAUAAUCACUAGCUGCAAGCGUAUACACUGGAUGGCUUGUCGUGGGCUAGCACUCUUGCACGGUAUGCACCACCAUGAAAAUACUCCCAAGUCUGAAUUCUGGUCAUAUAUGCUUGGUCAGUGGUUUGUAUCUGUUACUCUUCCAAUCUUCGGCAGCGGUGGAGACUUUUGGGAUCAGCAGCCGUAGAAGAUGCAGGGCAAAGGCUUAGAAGGGGUUUCUCGUAAUUUUAGCAGAUGUCAGUUGGCUCAGAAUUACGAACGAGGCUUUAACGCAGCUGUACUGUCAUAUACAACAUGUAUAUAUAUAACAGUGAAUAACAUUAAACACCCUAGUUUUGAAAA